This 1364-nucleotide ribosomal RNA is filed under the name uncultured bacterium. RNAcentral describes it as "bacterial SSU rRNA". It matches the Rfam family "Bacterial small subunit ribosomal RNA". The record is from RNAcentral.
AGAGUUUGACCUGGCUCAGGACGAACGCUGGCGGCAUGCCUAACACAUGCAAGUCGAACGGAGGUGGAAACACCUUAGUGGCGAACGGGUGAGUAACACGUGAGCAACCUGCCUCAUACACCGGGAUAACAGUUUGAAAAGACUGCUAAUACCGGAUAAGACCACGUCCCGGCAUCGGGGAGGGGUCAAAGUGAUUUAGCGGUAUGAGAUGGGCUCGCGUCCAAUUAGUUAGUUGGCGGGGUAACGGCCCACCAAGACGACGAUUGGUAGCCGACUUGGGAGAGUGAUCGGCCACAUUGGAACUGAGACACGGUCCAAACUCCUACGGGAGGCAGCAGUGGGGAAUAUUGGGCAAUGGAGGAAACUCUUACCCAGCAAUGCCGCGUGAGUGAUGAAGGUCUUAUGGAUUGUAAAGCUCUUUGAUUAGGGACGAAUAAAUGACGGUACCUAAAGAACAAGCCCCGGCUAACUAUGUGCCAGCAGCCGCGGUAAUACGUAGGUUGCAAGCGUUGUCCGGAUUUACUGGGUGUAAAGGGCGUGUAGGCGGAGAUGCAAGUUAGGAGUGAAAUCUAUGGGCUCAACCCAUAAACUGCUUCUAAAACUGUAUCCCUUGAGUAUCGGAGAGGCAAGCGGAAUUCCUAGUGUAGCGGUGAAAUGCGUAGAUAUUAGGAGGAACACCAAUGGCGAAGGCGGCUUGCUGGACGACAACUGACGCUGAGGCGCGAAAGCGCGGGGAGCAAACAGGAUUAGAUACCCUGGUAGUCCAUGCCGUAAACGAUGAAUACUAGGUGUGGGGGGACUGACCCCUUCCGUGCCGGAGUUAACACAAUAAGUAUUCCACCUGGGGAGUACGACCGCAAGGUUGAAACUCAAAGGAAUUGACGGGGGCCCGCACAAGCAGUGGAGUAUGUGGUUUAAUUCGAAGCAGCGCGAAGAACCUUACCAGGUCUUGACAUCCGACUAACGAAGUAGAGAUACAUCAGGUGCCCUUCGGGGAAAGUCGAGACAGGUGGUGCAUGGUUGUCGUCAGCUCGUGUCGUGAGAUGUUGGGUUAAGUCCCGCAACGAGCGCAACCCCUGCCGAUAGUUGCUACGCAAGAGCACUCUAUCGGGACCGCUACCGAUAAGGUGGAGGAAGGUGGGGAUGACGUCAAAUCAUCAUGCCCUUUAUGACCUGGGCUACACACGUACUACAAUGGCCGUUAACAGAGGGAAGCAAGUCCGCGAGGAGGAGCAAAACCCUAAAAGCGGUCCCAGUUCAGAUUGUAGGCUGCAACUCGCCUAUAUGAAGUUGGAAUUGCUAGUAAUCGCGGAUCAGCAUGCCGCGGUGAAUACGUUCCCGGGCCUUGCACUCACCGCCCGUCA